RNAcentral lists this ribosomal RNA (2932 nucleotides) under Escherichia coli. RNAcentral describes it as "23S ribosomal RNA". It matches the Rfam family "Bacterial large subunit ribosomal RNA". The record is from RNAcentral. Lineage: Bacteria; Pseudomonadati; Pseudomonadota; Gammaproteobacteria; Enterobacterales; Enterobacteriaceae.
GGGUUGUGAGGUUAAGCGACUAAGCGUACACGGUGGAUGCCCUGGCAGUCAGAGGCGAUGAAGGACGUGCUAAUCUGCGAUAAGCGUCGGUAAGGUGAUAUGAACCGUUAUAACCGGCGAUUUCCGAAUGGGGAAACCCAGUGUGUUUCGACACACUAUCAUUAACUGAAUCCAUAGGUUAAUGAGGCGAACCGGGGGAACUGAAACAUCUAAGUACCCCGAGGAAAAGAAAUCAACCGAGAUUCCCCCAGUAGCGGCGAGCGAACGGGGAGGAGCCCAGAGCCUGAAUCAGUGUGUGUGUUAGUGGAAGCGUCUGGAAAGGCGCGCGAUACAGGGUGACAGCCCCGUACACAAAAAUGCACAUACUGUGAGCUCGAUGAGUAGGGCGGGACACGUGGUAUCCUGUCUGAAUAUGGGGGGACCAUCCUCCAAGGCUAAAUACUCCUGACUGACCGAUAGUGAACCAGUACCGUGAGGGAAAGGCGAAAAGAACCCCGGCGAGGGGAGUGAAAAAGAACCUGAAACCGUGUACGUACAAGCAGUGGGAGCCUCUUUAUGGGGUGACUGCGUACCUUUUGUAUAAUGGGUCAGCGACUUAUAUUCUGUAGCAAGGUUAACCGAAUAGGGGAGCCGAAGGGAAACCGAGUCUUAACUGGGCGUUAAGUUGCAGGGUAUAGACCCGAAACCCGGUGAUCUAGCCAUGGGCAGGUUGAAGGUUGGGUAACACUAACUGGAGGACCGAACCGACUAAUGUUGAAAAAUUAGCGGAUGACUUGUGGCUGGGGGUGAAAGGCCAAUCAAACCGGGAGAUAGCUGGUUCUCCCCGAAAGCUAUUUAGGUAGCGCCUCGUGAAUUCAUCUCCGGGGGUAGAGCACUGUUUCGGCAAGGGGGUCAUCCCGACUUACCAACCCGAUGCAAACUGCGAAUACCGGAGAAUGUUAUCACGGGAGACACACGGCGGGUGCUAACGUCCGUCGUGAAGAGGGAAACAACCCAGACCGCCAGCUAAGGUCCCAAAGUCAUGGUUAAGUGGGAAACGAUGUGGGAAGGCCCAGACAGCCAGGAUGUUGGCUUAGAAGCAGCCAUCAUUUAAAGAAAGCGUAAUAGCUCACUGGUCGAGUCGGCCUGCGCGGAAGAUGUAACGGGGCUAAACCAUGCACCGAAGCUGCGGCAGCGACGCUUAUGCGUUGUUGGGUAGGGGAGCGUUCUGUAAGCCUGUGAAGGUGUACUGUGAGGUAUGCUGGAGGUAUCAGAAGUGCGAAUGCUGACAUAAGUAACGAUAAAGCGGGUGAAAAGCCCGCUCGCCGGAAGACCAAGGGUUCCUGUCCAACGUUAAUCGGGGCAGGGUGAGUCGACCCCUAAGGCGAGGCCGAAAGGCGUAGUCGAUGGGAAACAGGUUAAUAUUCCUGUACUUGGUGUUACUGCGAAGGGGGGACGGAGAAGGCUAUGUUGGCCGGGCGACGGUUGUCCCGGUUUAAGCGUGUAGGCUGGUUUUCCAGGCAAAUCCGGAAAAUCAAGGCUGAGGCGUGAUGACGAGGCACUACGGUGCUGAAGCAACAAAUGCCCUGCUUCCAGGAAAAGCCUCUAAGCAUCAGGUAACAUCAAAUCGUACCCCAAACCGACACAGGUGGUCAGGUAGAGAAUACCAAGGCGCUUGAGAGAACUCGGGUGAAGGAACUAGGCAAAAUGGUGCCGUAACUUCGGGAGAAGGCACGCUGAUAUGUAGGUGAAGCGACUUGCUCGUGGAGCUGAAAUCAGUCGAAGAUACCAGCUGGCUGCAACUGUUUAUUAAAAACACAGCACUGUGCAAACACGAAAGUGGACGUAUACGGUGUGACGCCUGCCCGGUGCCGGAAGGUUAAUUGAUGGGGUUAGCGGUAACGCGAAGCUCUUGAUCGAAGCCCCGGUAAACGGCGGCCGUAACUAUAACGGUCCUAAGGUAGCGAAAUUCCUUGUCGGGUAAGUUCCGACCUGCACGAAUGGCGUAAUGAUGGCCAGGCUGUCUCCACCCGAGACUCAGUGAAAUUGAACUCGCUGUGAAGAUGCAGUGUACCCGCGGCAAGACGGAAAGACCCCGUGAACCUUUACUAUAGCUUGACACUGAACAUUGAGCCUUGAUGUGUAGGAUAGGUGGGAGGCUUUGAAGUGUGGACGCCAGUCUGCAUGGAGCCGGCCUUGAAAUACCACCCUUUAAUGUUUGAUGUUCUAACGUUGGCCCCUGAUCGGGGUUGCGGACAGUGUCUGGUGGGUAGUUUGACUGGGGCGGUCUCCUCCUAAAGAGUAACGGAGGAGCACGAAGGUUGGCUAAUCCUGGUCGGACAUCAGGAGGUUAGUGCAAUGGCAUAAGCCAGCUUGACUGCGAGCGUGACGGCGCGAGCAGGUGCGAAAGCAGGUCAUAGUGAUCCGGUGGUUCUGAAUGGAAGGGCCAUCGCUCAACGGAUAAAAGGUACUCCGGGGAUAACAGGCUGAUACCGCCCAAGAGUUCAUAUCGACGGCGGUGUUUGGCACCUCGAUGUCGGCUCAUCACAUCCUGGGGCUGAAGUAGGUCCCAAGGGUAUGGCUGUUCGCCAUUUAAAGUGGUACGCGAGCUGGGUUUAGAACGUCGUGAGACAGUUCGGUCCCUAUCUGCCGUGGGCGCUGGAGAACUGAGGGGGGCUGCUCCUAGUACGAGAGGACCGGAGUGGACGCAUCACUGGUGUUCGGGUUGUCAUGCCAAUGGCACUGCCCGGUAGCUAAAUGCGGAAGAGAUAAGUGCUGAAAGCAUCUAAGCACGAAACUUGCCCCGAGAUGAGUUCUCCCUGAGACUUUAAGUCUCCUGAAGGAACGUUGAAGACGACGACGUUGAUAGGCCGGGUGUGUAAGCGCAGCGAUGCGUUGAGCUAACCGGUACUAAUGAACCGUGAGGCUUAACCUUACAACGCCGAAGGUGUUU